UGGGGAAUUUUGGACAAUGGGGGAAACCCUGAUCCAGCCAUCCCGCGUGUGCGAUGAAGGCCUUCGGGUUGUAAAGCACUUUUGGCAGGAAAGAAACGUCAUGGGUUAAUACCCCGUGAAACUGACGGUACCUGCAGAAUAAGCACCGGCUAACUACGUGCCAGCAGCCGCGGUAAUACGUAUGGUGCAAGCGUUAAUCGGAAUUACUGGGCGUAAAGCGUGCGCAGGCGGUUCGGAAAGAAAGAUGUGAAAUCCCAGAGCUCAACUUUGGAACUGCAUUUUUAACUACCGGGCUAGAGUGUGUCAGAGAGAGGUGGAAUUCCGCGUGUAGCAGUGAAAUGCGUAGAUAUGCGGAGGAAAACCGAUGGCGAAGGCAGCCUCCUGGGAUAACACUGACGCUCAUGCACGAAAGCGUGGGGAGCAAACAGG
This 429-nucleotide ribosomal RNA is filed under the name Acidobacteriota bacterium. Its description in RNAcentral is "Acidobacteria bacterium partial 16S ribosomal RNA". It matches the Rfam family "Bacterial small subunit ribosomal RNA", at positions 355 to 776 of the family's 1533-position model. The record is from RNAcentral. Lineage: Bacteria; Pseudomonadati; Acidobacteriota.